Coffea arabica (coffee) is the source of this 1432-nucleotide non-coding RNA. The record is from RefSeq and is a predicted model, not a curated record. NCBI's taxonomy places the organism in Eukaryota, Viridiplantae, Streptophyta, Magnoliopsida, Gentianales, Rubiaceae.
GGAAUAUUCCAUUACUCCUUUCUAGCGUUCUUAACUAAUUUGAGUGGAGGACGAAGAUCAUCAGAAAUUCGUCAUCAACUUGAGAAGUCUGAUGAAAUGGGGCUGAUAAUCCGGUGGUCUUGUCUUCUCAAUUAGCUGACCCCAGAUGCAACGGCCAGUUUGCCACCAGUCUACAAACUCUUGCAGACGAUUCUCCAUCACAUUAUGUCCUUUCUGUACACGAAGGAUGCUGCAGCCACUUGUAUUUUGAGGUUCCUAUCCUUUGUCUCCAUAUUAAUGGACUACCAGAGCCUCAUAGGGCUGAGGAUGAUAGUGCCAAGUGAAUUAUGCAAGCAAAAAACAAUUGAAUCAGAGGUCCAACAGGGUGCCACCAAUCAUACCACAAGUCAUCUGCACAUCUCCUACUACGAUUUGAAUGCAUUUCCUGGCAAUGGACCUCAACUUUUAGCAUCUUCCAGGAGGAAGAGGAACAAUUGGUAGUUGGAGCUGGUGUAAAAUUAUGAACUUGAAUGGUAAUUCUUUGAAGAAGGUGUCUCUUUCUGGACAAUGGCAAUGUUUGAAGUCCUUGUCAGAGGAUUGGAAUAGGAUAUUGUCGUUCAAGAAAGCCUCAAAGCUUUGAUAGGUUUACCAGAUUGUGCUCAACAAAAGAAUUUGGAGGAGAAGUUGAUGAAUUCCAUAUGCAGUUAUGAAAAUCUCCUAGUAAAUUAUAUCCAUCUCUCUUACAUGUCCUACGCCUUUUCAUCCUCCUGAUAACCAAGAGGAAGAACAAAAAAAAAAAAAAGAGUCUCCAACAAAUAGUUUUGGAUUUUGUGUCUGUCUUUUAAAGAUUUUGUGUAAGGGGAGGUUUCCUGGUUGUUGUUUCUAACGAUUGUGUCUUGAGAUCAUUUACAUAUGACCAGUUAUUUCAGAUUUUUAUUGUUAAAAAUUGAAAGGUGUUUGAACUUGUGACAAGGAUCAAGUGUCAUCUGAUGUGAUUGCUUAUGCUUUUUCAGGUGGCUUGGUACAUCACUUGGUAGCAGAACUGGAAUUUCUAGUAACAUAUACAAUUUUCAGCUGAACUGGAUCAUUUGCACCUGGAAAAUAAAGCAUAACAUGGUUAUAUCUGCUAGUGUUAUUCGAGAUGACAGGUUUUAGCUUAUUUCUUUUUUCAAUGAAAAACAUGUUCCUGGAUAAGAUCUUCAUCAUUUGGAAACUACUUGACAAGUAUAGUGGAAGUGAGUACCCUCACAAUUUAUUGGCACUGUUAAAUUGGCACUGUUGGAUUGGAUGAUGGAUACUGCAGCAAGGUCACAAGGCUCAAUGCAAGAUGUAUUGUUUGUAAUAGCUAUCAAUAGCCAGAAUUUUUGUGAGAAAAGGACUCAUUUCUUUCUUUAACAAACAAAAGAAACAGAUUAGUAAAAAAAUUUCAACCGAUGAGUUUACAAGGGCUCAU